Molecule: ribosomal RNA, 882 nt
Filed under: marine metagenome
Description: bacterial SSU rRNA
Rfam family: Bacterial small subunit ribosomal RNA
Source: RNAcentral
GGAUGAACGCUAGCGGCAGGCCUAACACAUGCAAGUCGAGGGGCAGCACGAUUGCUUGCAAUUGGUGGCGACCGGCGCACGGGUGCGUAACGCGUAUGCAACCUACCCUUUACAGGAGGAUAGCCCGGGGAAACUCGGAUUAAUACUCCAUAAUAUCAUUGAUUCGCAUGUUUUAAUGAUUAAAGAUUUAUCGGUAUAGGAUGGGCAUGCGUAAGAUUAGCUAGUUGGUAAGGUAAUGGCUUACCAAGGCAACGAUCUUUAGGGGGCCUGAGAGGGUGAACCCCCACACUGGUACUGAGACACGGACCAGACUCCUACGGGAGGCAGCAGUGAGGAAUAUUGCGCAAUGGAGGCAACUCUGACGCAGCCAUGCCGCGUGCAGGAAGACGGCCCUACGGGUUGUAAACUGCUUUUAUUUGGGAAUAAACCCCUGAUCGAGUAUCAGGGCUGAAGGUACCAAACGAAUAAGGACCGGCUAACUCCGUGCCAGCAGCCGCGGUAAUACGGAGGGUCCAAGCGUUAUCCGGAUUCAUUGGGUUUAAAGGGUGCGUAGGCGGCUUAAUAAGUCAGUAGUGAAAGACUGUGGCUCAACCAUAGAAUUGCUAUUGAAACUGUUGGGCUUGAAUCUAGUUGAAGUGGGCGGAACACAUCAUGUAGCGGUGAAAUGCAUAGAUAUGAUGUAGAACGCCGAUUGCGAAGGCAGCUCACUAAGUUAGUAUUGACGCUGAGGCACGAAAGCGUGGGUAGCGAACAGGAUUAGAUACCCUGGUAGUCCACGCCGUAAACGAUGGUUACUCGCUGUUGGCGAUAUAAUGUCAGUGGCCAAGCGAAAGCAUUAAGUAACCCACCUGGGGAGUACGUUCGCAAGAAUGAAACUCAAAG